GUGUCAAAUGUAAACAUUCACACACACGCAGCAUUCUUCCUUCUGUAAUCACUUCCCCACAGCAGCCAGCACCUGCUCUCCAUGACUCAGCAUUCCGAGCCCAAAGUUGCUUUUUUGCUCCUGUCCCUGGAGUUUCAGCUGCUUCCUGUAGCAGGCCAGCUGCCCUGAGAGCGGGGGAAGAAAAACCCACCAGCACAUCUAUGCUACAUUUCAUAAAGAUGGAAUCACACAACACAUGGGCCUUUGUGACGGGCUUCUUUCACUGGGCGUAAUGUUUUCAAGGUUCAUCCAUGUUGUAGCAUGUAUACGGCUCUGCAAAUAAUUAGUUUGGACCAAGAGUAUAUGAAUGAAAGUGAUGCAUGCGACCUCCAGAUUAUAUCUUUAAAAAACAAGCAAACCUGGUUGCCUUCCUCUUCUUUUUCCCCUCCUCCCCAACUGGAAUGCUAAUAUGAUAUUUGGCUACGAUGAUGAGGACGACAUUGCUUUGGGGCAGCAACAGGACAGACGUAACCUGGGUCCUUAGAUACUCCUCGAUCAGAGCUGCCUCAAGAACCUAACCUACCUUCUUCUGAAGUAUUAUGUGAGAGAGAAAUAAACGCACUGU
Molecule: long non-coding RNA, 604 nt
Organism: Aethalodelphis obliquidens (Pacific white-sided dolphin)
Lineage: Eukaryota; Metazoa; Chordata; Mammalia; Artiodactyla; Delphinidae
Exons: 3
Source: RefSeq, a predicted model, not a curated record